GACGAACGCUGGCGGCGUGCCUAAUACAUGCAAGUUGAGCGCUGAAGGUUGGUACUUGUACCAACUGGAUGAGCAGCGAACGGGUGAGUAACGCGUGGGGAAUCUGCCUUUGAGCGGGGGACAACAUUUGGAAACGAAUGCUAAUACCGCAUAAAAACUUUAAACACAAGUUUUAAGUUUGAAAGAUGCAAUUGCAUCACUCAAAGAUGAUCCCGCGUUGUAUUAGCUAGUUGGUGAGGUAAAGGCUCACCAAGGCGAUGAUACAUAGCCGACCUGAGAGGGUGAUCGGCCACAUUGGGACUGGGACACGGCCCAAACUCCUACGGGAGGCAGCAGUAGGGAAUCUUCGGCAAUGGACGAAAGUCUGGCCGAGCAACGCCGCGUGAGUGAAGAAGGUCUUCGGAUCGUAAAACUCUGUUGGUAGAGAAGAACGUUGGUGGGAGUGGAAAGCUCAUCAAGUGACGGUAACUACCCAGAAAGGGACGGCUAACUACGUG
RNAcentral lists this ribosomal RNA (497 nucleotides) under uncultured bacterium. RNAcentral describes it as "partial 16S ribosomal RNA". It matches the Rfam family "Bacterial small subunit ribosomal RNA", at positions 28 to 507 of the family's 1533-position model. The record is from RNAcentral.